GGACGGGGGCUCCACCGCCGCCCUGGGCAGCAAGUGCCCGUGCCCGAGAGCCCUUUGGGUGAAGAAAUCUUUCCUGGUGCCCAGUCUGAACCCGCCCUGGCGCAGCCCGAGGCCAUUUCAGAGCAAGGGCUUCGUUCUGAUCCCCGUCUGUGGGGAGGAGAGAGCUGCAAGCGCCGAGGUGGACAAGAGGGUCAGGAAUGAAGAAGCAGCGCUUCGUUUUUAAGAGGCCACGCAGCGAAUCCCUGGCGACGGGAGCUUUCUGAGCGCAGACAGCCGUGGGGAACAAGCACGGCGGGCAAAGAAGCCCGAAGAGGGCACUCUCUGCCGGGAGUGCCCCCGGCCCCGGCCGAGCGCUGCGAGGGAGAGGAGGCGGCGCCGAGCCCGGCCCGCGCAGCCUCGAACCCCGCCCCGUGCGCGGCACAACUCUCAGCUCAACGGAGGAAGGAUUCCUGUCUGUGGUGUUACCUUUCAAGAGCCUGAGAAUGAUCCUGGCAACUCUUGCUACUUGUGGGCUGUUCAGUCUACACCAAAAAGGGGAGGUGGUGUCUUGAGUUUCCGGCUGUUGCAGUUAACCUUUUUGGUAAACGAAGAUGCGUGGCAUCAGGACAAGUCAUGUAUGAAGUAAGAGGGUUUGGCACGCUGUGAAGAAAGGUUCCGUUUAGAUCUCAGGGAUGGAAACUUCCCCUGGGCAGGGCAGAACAGCAAUAUGAAAUUACUCGGGUGUCAGAUGACAGAAAGUUUCAGUGACGAUGUUGAUGAAGACAACAGCAUUAAUGGAGGUUUGUUCUGAUGUCCGUGUUGGGUUGAUCUGCUGGAGGGAAGGAAGGCUCUUCCUUCCUCUGCGGGGAAAAUCAUAGAGCCCUACUUUGCUUACAUCCAGAGAACGCACUCUCGCCAGAGAAGAGAGGUCAUGCAAUUUCUUGAGAGAACUGUAACAGUGUGAAUGUUUUAUGUUGGAAUCUUGAUUUGCAUUUCCUGGUGGUUGAGUUUGGGGGUUUUCUACCCAUUUUGUGUGAUAAGAGUGUUCUUUUCUCCUGAAUCUGCUGAGAAGGAGCUACUCUUGAAAGGUGUCACUGAGUCAGCUGUGGGAAUUGGUUGUGCCAUUGGAGUGAUACAAGCGGAUACGAUCACUAUUUGUCUGCUUUCAGAAGGGGACAAUGUCUAUGUUCCUAGCAUGUUUUUUGCUAAGCAGUUCAUCUAGCUGAAUGUCUUGAUCAACUCUUCACGUAUGGAAAACUUAAAUUAACUCAUGACUGUGUGUUUGGUUUGGCUUAGCAUGGAUGCAAUUUGAAGAAGAAAAAGGGGCGGUGUGUCUGGAACCCGUCUCGGAGCUGUUUGCCCUUUGUUUGACGCUGUGCCCUUUGACAAAUGUUAAAUGAAUGCAAUAGUAACCAAUGAUUGUUUUACAAAUGUAUAACCAAACCAAUCAAAUUUAGGGAAUGACUAAGUAGAAUGUAGUGAAAGAUACAUA
Molecule: long non-coding RNA, 1471 nt
Organism: Cuculus canorus (common cuckoo)
Lineage: Eukaryota; Metazoa; Chordata; Aves; Cuculiformes; Cuculidae
Exons: 4
Source: RefSeq, a predicted model, not a curated record